Molecule: ribosomal RNA, 286 nt
Filed under: uncultured bacterium
Lineage: Bacteria
Description: partial 16S ribosomal RNA
Rfam family: Bacterial small subunit ribosomal RNA
Source: RNAcentral
AUCCUACGGGAGGCAGCAGUGGGGAAUAUUGGGCAAUGGGCGCAAGCCUGACCCAGCGACGCCGCGUGAGGGAAGACGGUCUUCGGAUUGUAAACCUCUUUCAGCAGGGAAGACAAAAGGACGGUACCUGCAGAAGAAGCCACGGCUAACUACGUGCCAGCAGCCGCGGUAAUACGUAGGUGGCAAGCGUUAUCCGGAAUUACUGGGUGUAAAGGGUGUGUAGGCGGGGUGGCAAGUCAGAAGUGAAAAUUAUGGGCUCAACCCAUAACCUGCGGUUGAAAGUAAA